AAGAGUAAGAGCGGUAGUUGCAAAUUAAAUUGAUCACAAAAAGAUUUAGUUUGAGGAAAGUCCGGGCUCCCAAAAGAUCAAACUUGCUGGGUAACCCCCAGUGCGCGUGAGCGUGAGGAUAGUGCCACAGAAAAAUACCGCCCGUUUUCGGGUAAGGGUGCAAAGGUGUCGGUAAGAGCGCACCAGCAAUAUCGAGAGGUAUUGGCUCGGUAAACCCCGGUGGGGAGCAAGGUCGGAGGAAUUACGGUUGAUCUUUUUCCGAUUUCGUAUUUGGUGUACCGCUUGAGGUAAUUAGUAAUAAUUAUCCUAGAUAGAUAACUACCCUUUUAACAUAGUUGAAAGAACAGAACCCGGCUUACUCCUUACUCUUUUUU
Molecule: RNase P RNA, 374 nt
Filed under: Cyanobacteria bacterium CG_2015-02_32_10
Lineage: Bacteria; Bacillati; Cyanobacteriota
Also listed under: 4 other names
Description: RNase P RNA component class A
Rfam family: Bacterial RNase P class A
About the family: Ribonuclease P (RNase P) is a ubiquitous endoribonuclease, found in archaea, bacteria and eukarya as well as chloroplasts and mitochondria. Its best characterised activity is the generation of mature 5'-ends of tRNAs by cleaving the 5'-leader elements of precursor-tRNAs.
Source: RNAcentral